CAAGGCUUUGCUUUUGGAGCGGUGGGAAGGAGGUGUGGAUCAGUUUUCGAUGAGAUUUUUGAUCCAUCUUGAAGAACCUAUCGAAGCCUGAGGUUCAUCUUGAGAACAGCUUGUCAUCCAUCUCGCCCUCUAUCGCUCAGCGACCCAAAUGGAGGCCCCAGGACUGCAGUCUGCAUGAAGAAACAAUUCAGAUUGGCCAAGAUCGCAUAACUAAAAGUUGGGGAGUUGGAACCUACUAAAACUGACUCCAAAUUAAUACAGUGCUUGUAGCCACUUCUGUAAUAAUGGUAAA
Marmota flaviventris (yellow-bellied marmot) is the source of this 292-nucleotide long non-coding RNA. RefSeq lists it as uncharacterized. Lineage: Eukaryota; Metazoa; Chordata; Mammalia; Rodentia; Sciuridae. The record is from RefSeq and is a predicted model, not a curated record.